GACGAACGCUGGCGGCGUGCUUAAUACAUGCAAGUCGAAUGGAAAGGCCCUGCUUUUGUGUGGUGCUUGAGUGGCGAACGGGUGAGUAACACGUGAGUAACCUGCCCUUGACUUUGGGAUAACUUCUGGAAACUGUGGCUAAUACCGGAUAGGAGCUCCUGCUGCAUGGUGUGGGUUGGAAAGUUUCGGUGGUUGCGGAUGGACUCGGGGCUUAUCAGCUUGUUGGUGAGGUAGUGGCGUCCACUGGCUUUGACGGGUAGCCGGCCUGAGAGGGUGACAGGGCACAGUGGGCCUGAGAAGCGGCCCGGACGCCUACGGGGGGCAGAAGUGGGAGAUAGUGCACAAUGGGCGGAGGCAUGAAGCAGGAACGUCGCGUGCGGGAGGUCGGCCGUCGGGGAGGAAACCGCGUGCGCCUGUGACGAAGCGAGAGUGACGGUAAUGGGUAAAAAAGCACCGGCUAACUACGUG
Molecule: ribosomal RNA, 468 nt
Filed under: uncultured bacterium
Lineage: Bacteria
Description: partial 16S ribosomal RNA
Rfam family: Bacterial small subunit ribosomal RNA
Source: RNAcentral